Molecule: ribosomal RNA, 848 nt
Filed under: Pseudomonas viridiflava
Lineage: Bacteria; Pseudomonadati; Pseudomonadota; Gammaproteobacteria; Pseudomonadales; Pseudomonadaceae
Description: bacterial SSU rRNA
Rfam family: Bacterial small subunit ribosomal RNA
Source: RNAcentral
AGAGAGAAGCUUGCUUCUCUUGAGAGCGGCGGACGGGUGAGUAAUGCCUAGGAAUCUGCCUGGUAGUGGGGGAUAACGCUCGGAAACGGACGCUAAUACCGCAUACGUCCUACGGGAGAAAGCAGGGGACCUUCGGGCCUUGCGCUAUCAGAUGAGCCUAGGUCGGAUUAGCUAGUUGGUGAGGUAAUGGCUCACCAAGGCGACGAUCCGUAACUGGUCUGAGAGGAUGAUCAGUCACACUGGAACUGAGACACGGUCCAGACUCCUACGGGAGGCAGCAGUGGGGAAUAUUGGACAAUGGGCGAAAGCCUGAUCCAGCCAUGCCGCGUGUGUGAAGAAGGUCUUCGGAUUGUAAAGCACUUUAAGUUGGGAGGAAGGGCAGUAACCUAAUACGUUAUUGUUUUGACGUUACCGACAGAAUAAGCACCGGCUAACUCUGUGCCAGCAGCCGCGGUAAUACAGAGGGUGCAAGCGUUAAUCGGAAUUACUGGGCGUAAAGCGCGCGUAGGUGGUUUGUUAAGUUGAAUGUGAAAUCCCCGGGCUCAACCUGGGAACUGCAUCCAAAACUGGCAAGCUAGAGUAGGGCAGAGGGUGGUGGAAUUUCCUGUGUAGCGGUGAAAUGCGUAGAUAUAGGAAGGAACACCAGUGGCGAAGGCGACCACCUGGGCUCAUACUGACACUGAGGUGCGAAAGCGUGGGGAGCAAACAGGAUUAGAUACCCUGGUAGUCCACGCCGUAAACGAUGUCAACUAGCCGUUGGAAUCCUUGAGAUUUUAGUGGCGCAGCUAACGCAUUAAGUUGACCGCCUGGGGAGUACGGCCGCAAGGUUAAAACUCAAAUGAAUUGAC